CCCCACCUAUGAAUCAAUCUGCAAUGGAAGGAUGUGUUUGGGUUACUGCACCUCAGGGAGAGAAAGGCAUUAUUAUUCUGCUUCUCAGAAACGUCGUUGGAGCGGUGCUCUUAUUGACUCUAGUGCUUGCGGUCAUCAUCGUCCACUUCAAGUCAGGUCCUACCGGAGACUCAGAAUAACCCAACCUGCUGGAAGGAUGAGGACACCAAAAGGAACAAACUCUCCUUGCUUUGCUCUGCUGCCCCCAAAAUCAGCUGUGCCCUGGACAGUAUUGAACUGCCAAUCUUAUCCCAUUAAGGAGAAAGGAAGACACCCCAACUACCCAGAGCACCUGGACACCCAGCAGCUCCUGGCCAUUCACCAGUUUCUCCUAGACUACAGCUACAACUUCCCUCAGGGGAAGACCUCAUCAGCACCAGAUUCCACUGAGACUCCAACUGAAGUUAGAGUAGCUCC
Molecule: long non-coding RNA, 456 nt
Filed under: Chrysemys picta bellii (western painted turtle)
Lineage: Eukaryota; Metazoa; Chordata; Testudines; Emydidae
Description: lncRNA (ENSCPBG00000022770.1)
Source: RNAcentral